CUUAGGAGUCCCCAGGGAGCUGCUGGCUGCUGGCGUAGACCUGUGUUCCUAUUGCUGGUAACACAUCAGGUAGGCAGAAACAGCAAAAUGGAGAAACCUCUACUACAGCAGGAGUACAUCCAUGAGUAAUGAGGUGUUGUGGCUUCUCCAGCUUCAACUUUCUUUGUUCAACUUUCUGUCUCCCCACCGCAUGUGGUCCAGUGACUUCCUCAGCAGCGUUGAACAGACAAUUCAUUAUCUCCCUACAGUUUGAAACACCGGCAUUAUUGAAGAUGGAUAGAAAGUGGAAAAAUGAUGGGGUGAUGGGAGAGAAAUCACGAGAAAAGAGGCUUUGAUGUUGCAGAUAAGAGACUGGCAAGCUCGAGAAGAAGCCGACUGGAAAUGAGCUCCAUUAGGAGAGGGCAUCCUGACCAUGGGGCCAUGACUGGCCUUGAAGUGAGAGAGGACACAGGAGCAAGAGGACAUCUUGGCAGAGACCACAGAGCAUGGCUUUCCUGCUGGGUGCUGUAGUGUAACCUGCAAUCCAACAUUUGGUGGAGGGGGGUGAGGGGCGGGUGAGGGAAAGGUAGGAGGGGGUGUGGAGGCAGGAGAAACAGGAGUUCAAGGAUAGUCUCAGCUAUAUAGCAAGCUUGAGGUCCAUCUGAGUUACAUGAGAUCCUGUCCUGUGACGAUAUCUUGAUUGUACAAAUAAAGCCUGUCUAAAGAUCAGAGGAUGGAACUUGCCACUAGCUAAACCUAAAGGUUGGAGGUCUGUACAGACAGACAGGAAGUGAGAUGUCUGGGCAGAGGGAGGAAAUGAGAUGGCCGGGGCAGAGAGGAUUUGAAGGGACCAGCUUCCCAUUUCAGCAGCCAUAACAGCCUAACAUGUGCUUGUCUGACCUUGCCUUGGUCACUAGGAGGUCAGAUGCCUGCCUCAUGGCAAGGAACCAAUCAGAAGUUAGCUGGUAGUGCUAUCCUUUACGGCUCUGUGUGUGCUUUAUGGACAAGUGCACAGCAAUGACGUGCAGAGCACAGCAAUCACCCUGGGAGGGGCUAUGGGCCAUAACAACCAGUUGACCAAUCAACACAGAGCAAGUCCUCCAAGCCUGGAGGCACACCAAUCCUGAGCCUAUGUGUACCCCUAGACACUCCCCUUACACUGCCCUAUAAGAUCUCUAUCCCGUGGCUUCUCAGAAUCUUUUCCCAGCCAUCUGCCAUGGUGGAUGGAUGAAAUGCCCAAGCUAACAUGGGGUUAACUCGUUAAACAACUGCAAUAAAAGACUCAUUGCUUUUGCAUCGAAAUGGGCCUCUUGGUGAUUUGGGGGUUCAGAAUUUGGGCGCAACAGGAUUUAAGCAGGAAGAAACAGGAACUCGCUCUCUUUACUCCUGGGAAGCUAAUGAAUUGAAGGUGGCUUUGGCUUGCUCCUUCUUCUCUCUGAUCUCUCAGCAUUUUCCUCUAUAUCUGACUCCACCUUUUUAUUAUUUAGCCCAAUUAAGAACUCCAAAUCUGACAGUUUCAUUAAGAGAGGUAGCAGAGAGAGCAAGGGAGCGAGAGAGCCAGUGCUGCCACAGAUCCAGGACAGGGACAAAGCCUCAGAGAAACUUCACAACAAAGUAGGAAUCUGAC
Molecule: long non-coding RNA, 1606 nt
Filed under: Cricetulus griseus (Chinese hamster)
Lineage: Eukaryota; Metazoa; Chordata; Mammalia; Rodentia; Cricetidae
Description: lncRNA (ENSCGRG00015039634.1)
Source: RNAcentral